RNAcentral lists this long non-coding RNA (624 nucleotides) under Vigna radiata. RNAcentral's name for it is "long non-coding RNA (VRAD_LNC001890)". The record is from RNAcentral. Lineage: Eukaryota; Viridiplantae; Streptophyta; Magnoliopsida; Fabales; Fabaceae.
AGAAGUGGAACAGCACAACACGGAUGAAGCAAUGUAACAGUACUUAUCUGGAAUGUGAUGCAGAACCAUAGCUCUGAUACCACUUGAUACGGCUCUCCAUUGCUUGGUUGAAGACUGGACCUGAGAAGGAAGGGGUUCCAGCAAGUGGCAGCGGAAAUUUGAUGGAAUCAGAGUGGAUGUUGGUUGCGGCAAAGAAGAGAUGAGUUGAUCCUAGCUUCAGGCAGCCUCCAUUGUUGGAAGAAAGCUAAGAGGUGGGAAAGAGUUGAUGGAACAAGUGACUUUGGUAAGCAUUUNCUUGGNAGAGAUGAAUUUCAAAUUGAAGAAAUUUCUCAUAUAUUCCAAAGUGUUUUACAAGUGAGGCUUUCAUGAAUUUAUAGAUGCAUUCAUGAAGCCAAGCAAAGAAAGAAAAUGUGAUCCGUAAGAGCUGGAUCAAGUUACACGUUUUCACCCAUGUGGAAAAGGUGAUGGCCUUCUNGAAAGGCUUAUUUAAGCACGUGAAAAAUAUGCUAGGUGCCUAUGGAAAAGUAAACACUAAUGCCACCCCCUUUUAUGAUAGGCACACCCCUCUUUAUGUAGAAUUGUCCAUUUUACCCUUCACCAUGCUCUUGGGGUUGUUCUUUAUUU